RNAcentral lists this ribosomal RNA (253 nucleotides) under uncultured bacterium. Its description in RNAcentral is "partial 16S ribosomal RNA". It matches the Rfam family "Bacterial small subunit ribosomal RNA", at positions 524 to 776 of the family's 1533-position model. The record is from RNAcentral.
UACGUAGGGCGCAAGCGUUGUCCGGAAUUAUUGGGCGUAAAGAGCUCGUAGGCAGCUUGUCACGUCGAUUGUGAAAGCCCGAGGCUUAACCUCGGGUCUGCAGUCGAUACGGGCUAGCUAGAGUGUGGUAGGGGAGAUCGGAAUUCCUGGUGUAGCGGUGAAAUGCGCAGAUAUCAGGAGGAACACCGGUGGCGAAGGCGGAUCUCUGGGCCAUUACUGACGCUGAGGAGCGAAAGCGUGGGGAGCGAACAGG